This 432-nucleotide ribosomal RNA is filed under the name uncultured bacterium. RNAcentral describes it as "partial 16S ribosomal RNA". It matches the Rfam family "Bacterial small subunit ribosomal RNA", at positions 29 to 506 of the family's 1533-position model. The record is from RNAcentral.
AACGAACGCUGGCGGCAUGCCUAACACAUGCAAGUCGAACGAGACCUUCGGGUCUAGUUGCGCACGGGUGCGUCACGCGUGGGAACCUGCCCUUAGGCUCGGAAUAACUCCCCGUAAGGGGUGCUAAUACCGGAUAAUUUCUUCUGACCAAAGAUUUAUCGCCUUUGGAUGGGCCCGCGUUGGAUUAGCUAGUUGGUAGGGUAAAAGCCUACCAAGGCGACGAUCCAUAGCUGGUCUGAGAGGAUGAUCAGCCACACUGGGACUGAGACACGGCCCAGACUCCUACGGGAGGCAGCAGUGGGGAAUAUUGGACAAUGGGCGAAAGCCUGAUCCAGCAAUGCCGCGUGAGUGAUGAAGGCCUUAGGGUUGUAAAGCUCUUUUACCCGGGAUGAUAAUGACAGUACCGGGAGAAUAAGCUCCGGCUAACUCCGU